CGUCGAGUUAUUUAUCAUCAACAAUUUCAAUUCAAUUUCAUUUGUUACAUCCGAUCAUCUUCUCUGAUACGAAGCGUAUAAAAAUAAAACAACAAAAAACUCUUAAAACAAAGGAUGGUUGGGAUGAAGAGAUACAAUAUCCAAUGGCUCAGCAAGGGUGAGUGUUUUUGAGCUUACCAUAUGCUGAGCUUACUUGAAAAAUAAUUUUAUUUAGAUAGAUAAAAGUAUAUAUUAAAAAAUACCGAAAAUCUGAAAUUAUAUAAACUGUAGAAGUUUUAUAUAAGUAUGAAGUAUCCUUAUAUUAUUUGUAAAAUAAAAAUAAUAAUAUAAACUUUCCUAAAUUGAGGAUGUGAAUUUAUAUAGAUCCAUCUGGCACCGAUACUCUGGUGGGAGGCUUCGUGGGACUAAAUUUGUAAUUAAAUAUGUGUAUUUAUUUUGAAAAAAAAUUAAACACUUAAUAAAAACGUUCAUUCUUCUUCAAUUUCAUUUUACCGUGAAGUUGCAGUAUCUUCAUCAUCUUCUUCAUCAGAAGAUUUUGAAUCAAUUACAGCUUUUCGUGAUUUUGUCGUUGAGUCCAAAGAUAAUACUGGUUUGUCCUUCCUUAAAGGAUUUUCCAUCCCAUCUUUUCUUUUCGACGACGAAGAAAAUCUGGUUUCCAUUGAUGAUUCCAUAGAUGACGACGUUGUAAAUGUUGAAGAGUACUCGGAACUCACUCUUUCCUCAUCUGUUGAAGAAAACCUGGUUGCAAUUGAAGAUUCGGUAGAUGACGACGUUAUAAACGUUGAAGAUUCCUCGAAUUUCCCUUCUUCCUCAUCUGUUGAAGAAAACCUGGUUGCAAUUCAAGAUUCGGUAGAUGACGACUUUAUAAACGUUGAAGAGUCCUCGAAUCUCACUUUUUCCUCAUCUGUUGAAGAAAACUGGUUACAAUUGAAGAUUCGGUAGAUGACGAUAAAGACAUUGUAAGGAAUAAUUUAAAGUUGGGUCGAGAGAUAAUAUAUAUAUUGUAAGAUAUGAGAAAUAGAAAAGAUAGAUAUUUAUUUAUUAGCUAUUUUUUGUGUGGCUAAAACAAAGGUGAAAAUGAGGUGGGUCACGGGCGGGUGGGUAAAUUUAAAAUGGGUAAACUUUUUUACUUUAAUUCUUAAAAAUUUUAAUUUUAAUAAUCCUAUAUCUAAUAUAAUAUAAUUUAAAAUAAUAAAAUUUAAUUUUUUCAAACCGGGGCGACCCUCCCGGGUUUCGCACUGCCCCGAGACCCGCCCCUGAAUAUGAUCGGGGCAACGGGGGAAGAAAGGAAAACCAGGGCAGAUAUUCUAGCCCGCCCCCGGUUACCACCGGAGCGCGGAACGGAAUGGGACGGGACCGAGGCGACUCCUACGCUAAACCAAUACAUAAAAUAGAUCCGUAGAAAUAACGAUGAAAAAUUAACGAUAAAAUAAAUAAUAUCUCAGUAAAUAUCUCAUGGAUGCAUUUAUAAAUAACUACUAUAUAUAAAUUUAAUUUGAUUAAUCUAUUUGUAAAAAAAAUAAGUUUAGGAUAAAAAUAGAAAAUGAUAUCAAACUUCAUAAACAGAUUUCAAUAUCAUAAAUAUUAACGUCAACAUUGACUGGAAACAUGUGAAAUUUUGGUUUUUAUAUAUGGCCGCCAUAUGGGGAGCGGAUCACAUGUUUUUAUCG
RNAcentral lists this long non-coding RNA (1670 nucleotides) under Zostera marina. RNAcentral's name for it is "long non-coding RNA (ZMAR_LNC004097)". Lineage: Eukaryota; Viridiplantae; Streptophyta; Magnoliopsida; Alismatales; Zosteraceae. The record is from RNAcentral.